Molecule: long non-coding RNA, 623 nt
Filed under: Phoenix dactylifera (date palm)
Lineage: Eukaryota; Viridiplantae; Streptophyta; Magnoliopsida; Arecales; Arecaceae
Description: long non-coding RNA (PDAC_LNC020414)
Source: RNAcentral
UGUUUUUAAAAUGAUAAAACUUCAUUAGAUAAUUACUUCUAAUAAGAAGUCUAUUAUCCGAAAUUUUAAAAAAAUUACACUCUUGGGCAGUAAUUAGCAGUUAGGAAACCUCUAAAAUGUUAUAAAAAAAAAAUUGCAGGGUUGAAUCAUUUCUGAAAAGGUACGUAUGCAAUAUUUGAACUCUUAUAAUUCUAUCAAAACAUGAGAAACAGAACAUAAAUUUAUUCUUUUGACUUUCUAUUUCUAUAAUUUUCCUUUUCUAUAAGUUUCCUUCUAUACUAUAUCUUUCAGGAUACGGUUCUUGAUUAAAGGUAAUUAAGAAGUGCAAUCUUAUAUCAUCUUUGAGUUGAGUAUUUUAUCCUGGGGAUAGAGUUUCCAAGAGUCCUUUUACACCUCAAGGAGGAGAAAUUAUUGUCUUUACAAAAGCUUCCUGGAAGUACCUUACCCAACUGAAUUUUCUCUUUCUUUUUCUAUACUGUUUUUGUACUUCUCUCUGUUCCUUUGAAAUAGAACAGUAGGGCAAAGGAAGGAAGACUUUUAGCAAGAUGGUUGGUUGGGGGAUCAUCGGCUGCAUGUCUUGAUUCCCUGGCUCAUCCAAUUGGCUAAAUUAGAAUAGCACGAAC